This 301-nucleotide ribosomal RNA is filed under the name uncultured bacterium. RNAcentral describes it as "partial 16S ribosomal RNA". It matches the Rfam family "Bacterial small subunit ribosomal RNA", at positions 509 to 807 of the family's 1533-position model. The record is from RNAcentral.
CAGCCGCCGCGGUAAUACGGAGGGGGCUAGCGUUGUUCGGAAUUACUGGGCGUAAAGCGCACGUAGGCGGCUUUGUAAGUUAGAGGUGAAAGCCCGGGGCUCAACCCCGGAAUUGCCUUUAAGACUGCAGCGCUAGCAGGUGAGAGAGGUGAGUGGAAUUCCGAGUGUAGAGGUGAAAUUCGUAGAUAUUCGGAAGAACACCAGUGGCGAAGGCGGCUCACUGGCUCAUACUGGACGCUGAGGUGCGAAAGCGUGGGGAGCAAACAGGAUUAGAUACCCGUGUAGUCCCUGUCUCUUAUAC